Molecule: ribosomal RNA, 636 nt
Filed under: uncultured Pseudomonadota bacterium
Lineage: Bacteria; Pseudomonadati; Pseudomonadota
Description: bacterial SSU rRNA
Rfam family: Bacterial small subunit ribosomal RNA
Source: RNAcentral
CUUGCUGUUUCGCUGACGAGUGGCGGACGGGUGAGUAAUGUCUGGGAAACUGCCUGAUGGAGGGGGAUAACUACUGGAAACGGUAGCUAAUACCGCAUAACGUCGCAAGACCAAAGAGGGGGACCUUCGGGCCUCUUGCCAUCGGAUGUGCCCAGAUGGGAUUAGCUAGUAGGUGGGGUAACGGCUCACCUAGGCGACGAUCCCUAGCUGGUCUGAGAGGAUGACCAGCCACACUGGAACUGAGACACGGUCCAGACUCCUACGGGAGGCAGCAGUGGGGAAUAUUGCACAAUGGGCGCAAGCCUGAUGCAGCCAUGCCGCGUGUAUGAAGAAGGCCUUCGGGUUGUAAAGUACUUUCAGCGGGGAGGAAGGGAGUAAAGUUAAUACCUUUGCUCAUUGACGUUACCCGCAGAAGAAGCACCGGCUAACUCCGUGCCAGCAGCCGCGGUAAUACGGAGGGUGCAAGCGUUAAUCGGAAUUACUGGGCGUAAAGCGCACGCAGGCGGUUUGUUAAGUCAGAUGUGAAAUCCCCGGGCUCAACCUGGGAACUGCAUCUGAUACUGGCAAGCUUGAGUCUCGUAGAGGGGGGUAGAAUUCCAGGUGUAGCGGUGAAAUGCGUAGAGAUCUGGAGGAAUA